Molecule: ribosomal RNA, 415 nt
Filed under: uncultured microorganism
Description: bacterial SSU rRNA
Rfam family: Archaeal small subunit ribosomal RNA
Source: RNAcentral
GCGCAGCAGGCGCGAAACCUCCGCAAUGCUCGAAAGAGCGACGGGGGACGUCCAAGUGCCUACGCUCAGCGUAGGCUGUUCCCGAGCCUAAAAGACUCGGGGAGGUAAGGGCUGGGUAAGACGGGUGCCAGCCGCCGCGGUAAAACCAGCUCUUCGAAUCGUGGGCAUGAUUAUUUGGCUUAAAGUGUGCGUAGCAGGACAGGAUAAGUCUCCUGUGAAAUGCCAGGUCUUAAGCCUGGCGCGUGCGGGAGAUACUAUCCGUCUUGGGACCGGGAUAGGUAUGAUGUACACAGUGGGUAGGGGUGAAAUCCGAUAAUCCAUUGUGGACAACCGGUGGCGAAGGCGUCAUACUGGAACGGGUCCGACUGUGAGGCACAAAGCUAGGGUCGCGAGCCGGAUUAGAUACCCGUGUAGU